Molecule: non-coding RNA, 983 nt
Organism: Callorhinus ursinus (northern fur seal)
Lineage: Eukaryota; Metazoa; Chordata; Mammalia; Carnivora; Otariidae
Source: RefSeq, a predicted model, not a curated record
GGGACUGUUAUCAUGUACUGCUCAGGAAAUAACAGCACCUGGGAAAAACCACAGAGUGUGGUUUUGUAAGAAGUUGCUCAGCCUUCAAGGGAGAAAAUGCCUGGCUCAACAUUGGCCAAGAGGAACAGGUCUGGGAAAUUACGACAUGAGAGAGAGGAAAGCACACUCCGGCUUUGAAAACUUGCAUAUCUGUUUUCACAUCCCAGGAGGACUGUGUCACUGCUCUGUCACAAGUCCACAUGUACCAUUCCCAUCCCAGGCUAGGUGGCCGGCAACCCCUGCACCUUGCUCUGCGUGGCUGUCUGGCUGGCCCAUGUGAAUUAGGGAAUAUGAAGGCACCAAGAGAAUAGAAGUAGAGGGAGUUGUCCUGCGCAGACCCCAAACUGAGAAGAGUGAAAUAAUGGACUCUUCCUUUCAGCAAAUUGUCUCAUAUGAGAAGAAUGAAAGACAACUGAUAAGCAACUUUCAGCAAGAAGACAUAAUAGCUCAUAUUCUGAUUAGUAAUAGUGAUUUGAAUCCAUGCAGAUGUAUCAAAUGCUGACAUAUGUAUGUAUAAUAUGUGUAUUUAUAUGAAUUGUCAUAGACUUGAUGCAUUUUUUCAUAUUGCUAAAGACUUAAUACUAAGUGCCAGUGUGAUAAAAUAUUUUACUUCCUUUCCCAUUAAUUUUGAUUAGCCUAAAUCGAGCUACUUUAAGUUCUCCUAUUCUUGCUUUUGUGAGAGGCAUUACUUUUCUCUCUCUGUGUGUGUAUCUUUAUUAACCAUAUUGUUUGGGCUCUUGAUAAAGGAGAUAUGACACAGUGUACAUUUGAGCUAAACAUUCAUUUCUUCAGCAAGGAUUUCUAUUUAAGACAUUGUGCUAGGCAAGGGAGAGAAGGGGUGCAGAGUGAUGAUGAAGCAAGAUGGGCCAGAUGAUUUAUUUAUUUAUUUUUUUUAAAGAUUUUAUUUAUUUAUUAGAGAGAGAGAAUGAGAGAGAGCACGAGAG